Sebastes umbrosus (honeycomb rockfish) is the source of this 359-nucleotide non-coding RNA. RefSeq annotates it as small Cajal body-specific RNA 2. The record is from RefSeq and is a predicted model, not a curated record. NCBI's taxonomy places the organism in Eukaryota, Metazoa, Chordata, Actinopteri, Perciformes, Sebastidae. The transcript has a single exon.
GCUUCACAGUUUGAAUGCUCUUGCGUGAAUGGCGGCGUGUGUGGUGAGAGAGUGUUUGGAUGAGUGAAUGUGACGUGUUUGUUUGUGUGUGUGAGUGUUUAUAUUUCUAUAAAAAACUACACAGUGAUCUUAUUUGAUCUGGUCAGAGUGUGGCUCUGCGCUGAUCGGAGAUGAUAGUAAAAACGCGCUCUGUAGCCUCAGAGGCGAUGAGCAGCAGCGAGAUGAUAACCUGCAGGGCCUCCACGCUUCGUGUUGUGGAUAGAGGUGAUGAUUUGAUCAGAUAUACUAGUUCUGGUGGAGUUUGGGUUUCAUCUCAAGCUUCACAAUGGACAAUGAGUAUAUAAGCGAUUCUGAUCUAA